UUGUGAGGUUAAGCGACUAAGCGUACACGGUGGAUGCCCUGGCAGUCAGAGGCGAUGAAGGACGUGCUAAUCUGCGAUAAGCGUCGGUGAGGUGAUAUGAACCGUUAUAACCGGCGAUUUCCGAAUGGGGAAACCCAGUGUGUUUCGACACACUAUCAUUAACUGAAUCCAUAGGUUAAUGAGGCGAACCGGGGGAACUGAAACAUCUAAGUACCCCGAGGAAAAGAAAUCAACCGAGAUUCCCCCAGUAGCGGCGAGCGAACGGGGAGGAGCCCAGAGCCUGAAUCAGUGUGUGUGUUAGUGGAAGCGUCUGGAAAGGCGCGCGAUACAGGGUGACAGCCCCGUACACAAAAAUGCACAUAUUGUGAGCUCGAUGAGUAGGGCGGGACACGUGGUAUCCUGUCUGAAUAUGGGGGGACCAUCCUCCAAGGCUAAAUACUCCUGACUGACCGAUAGUGAACCAGUACCGUGAGGGAAAGGCGAAAAGAACCCCGGCGAGGGGAGUGAAAAAGAACCUGAAACCGUGUACGUACAAGCAGUGGGAGCCUCUUAAUGGGGUGACUGCGUACCUUUUGUAUAAUGGGUCAGCGACUUAUAUUCUGUAGCAAGGUUAACCGAAUAGGGGAGCCGAAGGGAAACCGAGUCUUAACUGGGCGUUAAGUUGCAGGGUAUAGACCCGAAACCCGGUGAUCUAGCCAUGGGCAGGUUGAAGGUUGGGUAACACUAACUGGAGGACCGAACCGACUAAUGUUGAAAAAUUAGCGGAUGACUUGUGGCUGGGGGUGAAAGGCCAAUCAAACCGGGAGAUAGCUGGUUCUCCCCGAAAGCUAUUUAGGU
This 837-nucleotide ribosomal RNA is filed under the name Escherichia coli. RNAcentral's name for it is "partial 23S ribosomal RNA". It matches the Rfam family "Bacterial large subunit ribosomal RNA", at positions 1 to 875 of the family's 2925-position model. Lineage: Bacteria; Pseudomonadati; Pseudomonadota; Gammaproteobacteria; Enterobacterales; Enterobacteriaceae. The record is from RNAcentral.